This 253-nucleotide ribosomal RNA is filed under the name uncultured bacterium. RNAcentral's name for it is "partial 16S ribosomal RNA". It matches the Rfam family "Bacterial small subunit ribosomal RNA", at positions 524 to 776 of the family's 1533-position model. The record is from RNAcentral.
UACGAAGGGGGCUAGCGUUGUUCGGAAUUACUGGGCGUAAAGCGCACGUAGGCGGAUACUUAAGUUAGGGGUGAAAUCCCGGGGCUCAACCCCGGAACUGCCUUUAAUACUGGGUAUCUCGAGUUCGAGAGAGGUGAGUGGAAUUCCGAGUGUAGAGGUGAAAUUCGUAGAUAUUCGGAGGAACACCAGUGGCGAAGGCGGCUCACUGGCUCGAUACUGACGCUGAGGUGCGAAAGCGUGGGGAGCAAACAGG